ACCUGCGGAGGGAUCAUUACUGAGUACUACACUCUCUACCCUUUGUGAACUAUUAUACCUGUUGCUUCGGCGGCGCCCGCAAGGGUGCCCGCCGGUCUCAUCAGAAUCUCUGUUUUCGAACCCGACGAUACUUCUGAGUGUUCUUAGCGAACUGUCAAAACUUUUAACAACGGAUCUCUUGGCUCCAGCAUCGAUGAAGAACGCAGCGAAACGCGAUAUGUAAUGUGAAUUGCAGAAUUCAGUGAAUCAUCGAAUCUUUGAACGCACAUGGCGCCUUCCAGUAUCCUGGGAGGCAUGCCUGUCCGAGCGUCGUUUCAACCCUCGAGCCCCUGUGGCCCGGCGUUGGGGAUCUGCCACGGCAGGCCCCUAAAACCAGUGGCGGACCCGAAGGCCCUCUCCUUUGCGCAGUAGCAUCAGCCUCGCAUUGGGAUCCCUCGGCGUCCUGCCUCUAAACCCCCCACAAGUCCGCUCCGGCGGCACCAAGGUUGACCUCGGAUCAGGUAGGAAUACCCGCUGAACUUAAGCAUAUCAAUAAGCGGAGGAA
RNAcentral lists this ribosomal RNA (544 nucleotides) under Plectosphaerella cucumerina. Its description in RNAcentral is "eukaryotic LSU rRNA". The stretch from base 159 to 312 matches the Rfam family "5.8S ribosomal RNA". Lineage: Eukaryota; Fungi; Ascomycota; Sordariomycetes; Glomerellales; Plectosphaerellaceae. The record is from RNAcentral.